CAGCCGUAAACAAUGUGCGUUAGGUGUGUCGGUAACCACGUGUUACUGAUGCGCCGAAGAGAAAUCGUGAAACGCACCACCUGGGAAGUACGGUCGCAAGGCUGAAACUUAAAGGAAUUGGCGGGGGGAGCACCACAACAGGUGGAGCCUGCGGUUUAAUUGGAUUCAACGCCGGACAUCUCACCAGAUAAGACAGCUGAAUGAUUGCCGGGCUGAAGACUCUGCAUGACUAGCUGAGAGGAGGUGCAUGGCGUAGACGUCU
This 262-nucleotide ribosomal RNA is filed under the name uncultured archaeon. RNAcentral's name for it is "partial 16S ribosomal RNA". It matches the Rfam family "Archaeal small subunit ribosomal RNA", at positions 748 to 1009 of the family's 1478-position model. The record is from RNAcentral.